UGACUCAGCAGGGGAGAGACUGUGAAGUGCUCCUGAAUACAGGCCGGUAGAGGUGAAGCGGCAGAGUCCAAGCCAGGCUUCUGUUCCCUUCAGUGGAUCCCCCCAGGAAUCACUGCCGAACUACUGGUUAGUGGAAGUCCUCGCUUUCUGCCCCACAGAGAGCCUUCCUGGAAGGCAGCAUGUCCACCAAUUUUCCCUUGAGAAAAAAGUCUUCCACAGGAAAUGCUUCUUAUGCUUCUGUGGUAGACAUGAAAAGCCCCACUCAAGGAGCUACACUGACCCAACAAGCUUCUCAUGAACUGAACAAAAGAAAGACUUUUUUACAGGAUAACAGCUGGAUCAAGAAACGUCUUGAAGAAGAAAAAGAUGAAAAUUAUGGGAAGGUAGUGCUCAACAGGCAUAACUCCCAUGAUGCCCUGCACAGGAAAAUAAAUGAGAAAGAUGAAACAAAAGCCACAAUUAGUAGAUACUCAUCCGAUGACACUUUGGACAGGAUCUCAGAGAGAAAUGAGGCUGCCAAAACAUCUAAAGCCAACACCCUGGAUUACCGACUAACCAAUAGGAACCUGUCCACAUUUAGAUCGUCAGCUGCAACCAAGUCGCAACCUGGCAGUUUGAGUGCAAGCACCUCCCACUCCACAGGUUCCGUCCCCGCUGCCAGUCCUGUGAAGAAAAAGAGACAGUCUUGGUUUCCACCACCCCCUCCGGGUAGCAGCACCAGCCUGAACACAGAAGCCAGCAGAAGGAACCCAGCUGUUCACCCUCCAAUACCACCAAAGCCCAAUUCUCCUAUUUCUUCUCCUAAGCAGCUGAGACAGAAGAACAGGCUGAUAUCUCCAUCUAAACUUGGUAUGGCUACAGAAACCAGCAGAUCUACUGAAAGAAAUAUAAGGACUCGGGAUCUUGAUGACAUCACCAAGGUGACAAUGUCACUUCAGGAAACUGACAAGGGGAAUCAAGGUCUUGAUGGUCUCUUCAGAAAAAAUUGGAAGGCAGAACAAAUAGAGAAAAGAGCCAAAAGUCUUGAAAGUCUCAUCCAUGUGGAUACCCAGAUGGACAAAGAUGACAAAGGAAACCAAAGCCUUGGAAGUUUUAAUAAAGUUAAUCAAAGGACUGACAAAAAUGAGAAAGGAAGCCGAGACCUCGAAUCUAUCACCAAAGUGGAUUCCAGGACACAUAAAACCAGAAGAGGAAGACAAGAUUUUGAUGGGCAUCUUAAAGUGAAUCUUGAAACAAAUAAAAACAUCAAAAGCAGUCGAAGCCUUGGCAAUCUGAUCGAAAUGAGCCCUGGAGGAAACAAGAAUAGGCACGGGAACCAAGACUUGGAUAAUCUUAUCAACAUGAACUUCUCAGCAAACAAAAGAAAUCAAUAUCUGGAUGACCUCAUCAAAGUGAAUUCCUCAGUAACCAGAAAUAAUCAAAGCCUAGAUUUGGACAAUCUUAUUCAAGUGAACCCUUCAGCUCUCAGAAAUGUUAAUCGCUCCAAUACUGGAACCAGACACGUAAGACCGAAGGACACUGUUAUGUAUACAAGGACGUACGUAGAGAAUAGUGAAGUACCAAGAGAUGAGUAUCAGGAGACUAGCUCUGGAAAGUAUAUACAAACUGUGUAUUCAACUUCAGACAGGUCUGUCAUUGAAAAUGACAUGUGCACUUACUGUCGAAAACCCUUGGGUGUGGAAACUAAAAUGAUUCUUGAUGAAUUACAAAUUUGCUGUCAUUCCACAUGCUUUAAGUGUGAAAUAUGCAAACGGCCUUUGGAAAACCUGAAAGCAGGUGACAGUAUUUGGAUUUAUAGACAAACAAUACACUGUGAACCUUGUUACUCUAAAGUUAUGGCAAAGUGGAUUCAAUAAAGCUGGCACAUGGAAAUCAAGAUGAACAGCAUUCACUAAAGAAUUAAAAGUUGCAAGUUUUAAAAACAUGUAAUCUACAAGAGUUUUUAUGCUGAAGAUCAACACUUGUAUAAAAUUAUAAUAAUUCUGAUAUUGCAUAAGUAAUAAAGUUACUUUCAAUAAGAUUAUAUAAAUGAAAAGAGCCAUCUGGUAUCUGGCUAUAUUAGUGAUAAGAAACUCGCAUGGUCUAAUUAUGAGUAUCAAAGGAAUAAUGCAUUUGAUGGUGGCAAACAUUAUCAGGCUUAGGCAGAUCUAUGCCUGGCUGUACAUCGUGAUUCCCAUUAGAGCAAAGUUGUUUAUUUUUGUCACCGUUAUUCUUCUAAGAAUUUGGGUUCUCAGGCAUUAUUGACACCCUAACAAAGGUAACAAAGGAAGAAAGAU
This is a long non-coding RNA of Cavia porcellus (domestic guinea pig), 2276 nucleotides long. The record is from Ensembl. NCBI's taxonomy places the organism in Eukaryota, Metazoa, Chordata, Mammalia, Rodentia, Caviidae.